RNAcentral lists this ribosomal RNA (795 nucleotides) under uncultured Alkalibacterium sp. RNAcentral describes it as "bacterial SSU rRNA". It matches the Rfam family "Bacterial small subunit ribosomal RNA", at positions 116 to 896 of the family's 1533-position model. Lineage: Bacteria; Bacillati; Bacillota; Bacilli; Lactobacillales; Carnobacteriaceae. The record is from RNAcentral.
CGUGGGGAACCUGCCCAUAAGAGGGGGAUAACAUCAGGAAACGGGKGCUAAUACCGCAUAGGUGAUCAUAGCGCAUGCUUAGAUCAUUAAAGAUGGCUUCGGCUAUCGCUUAUGSWUGGCCCCGCGGCGUAUUAGCUAGUUGGUGAGGUAAUGGCUCACCAAGGCUGUGAUACGUAGCCGACCUGAGAGGGUGAUCGGCCACACUGGAACUGAGACACGGUCCAGACUCCUACGGGAGGCAGCAGUAGGGAAUCUUCCACAAUGGGCGAAAGCCUGAUGGAGCAAUACCGCGUGAGUGAAGAAGGUCUUCGGAUCGUAAAGCUCUGUUGUUAGAGAAGAACAAGAGGUGUAKUAACUGGCACCUCCUUGACGGUAUCUAACCAGAAAGUCACGGCUAACUACGUGCCAGCAGCCGCGGUAAUACGUAGGUGACAAGCGUUGUCCGGAUUUAUUGGGCGUAAAGCGAGCGCAGGCGGUCUUUUAAGUCUGAUGUGAAAGCCCACGGCUCAACCGUGGAGGGUCAUUGGAAACUGGAAGACUUGAAUGCAGAAGAGGAAAGUGGAAUUCCAUGUGUAGCGGUGAAAUGCGUAGAUAUAUGGAGGAACACCAGUGGCGAAGGCGACUUUCUGGUCUGUAAUUGACGCUGAGGCUCGAAAGCGUGGGGAGCGAACAGGAUUAGAUACCCUGGUAGUCCACGCCGUAAACGAUGAGUGCUAAGUGUUGGAGGGUUUCCGCCCUUCAGUGCUGGAGCUAACGCAUUAAGCACUCCGCCUGGGGAGUACGGCCGCAAGGCUG